Molecule: ribosomal RNA, 330 nt
Filed under: uncultured Nitrospirota bacterium
Lineage: Bacteria; Pseudomonadati; Nitrospirota
Description: bacterial SSU rRNA
Rfam family: Bacterial small subunit ribosomal RNA
Source: RNAcentral
AACGAACGCUGGCGGCGUGCCUAACACAUGCAAGUCGAACGGAGUAUAUUUUGUAGCAAUACGGGAUAUACUUAGUGGCGGACGGGUGAGUAACACGUAAGUAACCUACCCUUAAGCUGGGGACAACUCAGGGAAACUUGAGCUAAUACCCGAUAAGACCACGAACUGAGAUGUUAGUGGUAAAAGGAGCAAUUCACUUAAGGAGGGGCUUGCGGCCUAUCAGGUAGUUGGUGAGGUAAUGGCCCACCAAGCCUAAGACGGGUAGCCGGACUGAGAGGGUGGUCAGCCGGAUUGGGACUGAGACACGGCCCAGACUCCUACGGGUGGCUG